GAUGGACGCUGGCGGCGUGCCUAAUACAUGCAAGUCGAGCGAACAGACGAGGAGCUUGCUCCUCUGACGUUAGCGGCGGACGGGAGAGUAACACUUGGAUAACCUACCUAUAAGACUGGGAUAACUUCUGGAAACCGGCGCUAAUACGGGAUAAUAUAUUGAACCGAAUGGUUCAAUAGUGAAAGACGGUUUUGUUGUCGGGUAAGGAUGGAUCCGCGCCGGAUUAGCUCGUGGGUAAGGUAACGGCCUACCAAGGGGACGAUGCGUAGCUGGCCUGAGAGGAUGAUCAGACACAUUGGGACUGAGACACGGCCCAAACUCCUACGGGAGGCAGCAGUGGGGAAUAUUGGACAAUGGGGGCAAGCAUGAUCCAGCCAUGCCGCGUGAGUGAUGAAGGCCUUAGGGUUGUAAAGCUCUUUCACCGAUGAAGAUAAUGACGGUAGUCGGAGAAGAAGCCCCGGCUAACUUCGUG
RNAcentral lists this ribosomal RNA (472 nucleotides) under uncultured bacterium. Its description in RNAcentral is "partial 16S ribosomal RNA". It matches the Rfam family "Bacterial small subunit ribosomal RNA", at positions 28 to 507 of the family's 1533-position model. The record is from RNAcentral.